CAACGAUUUUUCGUGCUUGCACGGAAAAGACGUUGACCUUGGUAACCGCCUAAUAUGAGGAAGAAGCGAUUUGUGCAACAAAUCUGCGGAUUCCGAAUAUUUUCGGAUUGCGAAAGCGGCUUUGCCGCGGAGCAAUCCGC
RNAcentral lists this small RNA (140 nucleotides) under uncultured Eubacterium sp. RNAcentral describes it as "Clostridiales-1 RNA". It matches the Rfam family "Clostridiales-1 RNA", at positions 22 to 158 of the family's 166-position model. Lineage: Bacteria; Bacillati; Bacillota; Clostridia; Eubacteriales; Eubacteriaceae. The record is from RNAcentral.